Molecule: long non-coding RNA, 861 nt
Filed under: Anas platyrhynchos platyrhynchos (common mallard)
Lineage: Eukaryota; Metazoa; Chordata; Aves; Anseriformes; Anatidae
Description: lncRNA (ENSAPLG00000030980.1)
Source: RNAcentral
GGUUCAAAGUGGGUGGAUUUGGGGGGAGAUAAGUCCAAGGACUAUUGGAGCAUGCACCAAACAAAUAAGGUUGAUAUACAAAUAUGACUAGUCCUUCACCUUACUCCAUAAAUAAGGGACAGUCCAGAUCCCAUUGAGCUCUUCUGCUGCAUGCUGGAAUCUUCCCCUGGAACAGGGACAUCUCUCAAGGUUACUCCUUGAGGCUGAGAGAUUCUAUGCCUGUGACAGAUAGUCAUUGACUAAUAGCUAGCUCAUUGAGACUUUGCAAGUAAUUUGCUAAGCAUGAUGAAACUUUGUAAUCUUAGCUAAGUGAUAUAAAGGAUUGGUUGUGCAUAUGAUUCUUUAGGUAUCAGCUCUUAAGUCUGGGAUUGUGUUGUAUCUAGACUCGCUCCUUGGAGUUUGGACGGCAAGAGGGGCUCCACUCUGAACCUUGUGACUCAAGAAGGAAGACAAAUUUAUCAAGUAUGUUUUGUGUCACUUUACCAGCCUUGCUUUGCUGAAUGCCCUCACCUGCUCUGGGGAUCUCAGCACCCGACCUUUCCUCUCCCACUUGAUCUCUCCCUUCUUCCUUCUGGGGAUCUAACGUAGGAUUUUAUGUCCUUGGACCAAGGUGACAAAGAGUCCUGAAAUGCAAAAUAACACCUUCUCGGAACAUGCACAUUGGAUAUGUAUUUGGACACAAAGAGAGAAAACUGCCUCUCAGAAAACAAACACUUAAUUGGUGAACUGUAGUAGGUUAGUUAUAUAUUUCAAAAAGUGCCAGAUUUGAAAUAUUCAUUUGUUCAAGUCAACAGACUGUGGAUGUGCUUUGUGUCUGGAAUUUGCUAAAUAAAGUCACAAUCAAAAAAAUACUGAUUCUCA